This 72-nucleotide transfer RNA is filed under the name Neurospora crassa. RNAcentral describes it as "tRNA predict as a tRNA- Arg : anticodon acg". Lineage: Eukaryota; Fungi; Ascomycota; Sordariomycetes; Sordariales; Sordariaceae. The record is from RNAcentral.
CGAUCCACCCAGGGGUCGAACCUGGAACCUCCUGAUUCGUAGUCAGACGCUCUGCCAUUGAGCCAGCGGACC